CCCUUAGAUGUUCUGGGCUGCACGCGCGCUACACUGAUGCGCUCAACGAGUUUUAACCUUGCCUGGAAAGGUUGGGUAAUCUUUUUAAAACGCAUCGUGAUGGGGAUAGAUUAUUGCAAUUAUUAAUCUUCAACGAGGAAUGCCUAGUAAACGCAAGUCAUCAGCUUGCAUUGAUUACGUCCCUGCCCUUUGUACACACCGCCCGUCGCUCCUACCGAUUGAAUGUUCCGAUGAAUACCAUGGACUGAGAGUAUGAAUGGGUUCGCCUAUUUCUGCUUCUCGGGAAGUGGAGUAAAUCUUAACAUUUAGAGGAAGGAGAAGUCGUAACA
Molecule: ribosomal RNA, 329 nt
Filed under: uncultured eukaryote
Lineage: Eukaryota
Description: partial 18S ribosomal RNA
Rfam family: Eukaryotic small subunit ribosomal RNA
Source: RNAcentral